This 720-nucleotide ribosomal RNA is filed under the name uncultured Bacilli bacterium. RNAcentral describes it as "bacterial SSU rRNA". It matches the Rfam family "Bacterial small subunit ribosomal RNA", at positions 28 to 733 of the family's 1533-position model. The record is from RNAcentral. Lineage: Bacteria; Bacillati; Bacillota; Bacilli.
GACGAACGCUGGCGGCGUGCCUAAUACAUGCAAGUAGAACGCUGAAGGAGGAGCUUGCUUCUCUGGAUGAGUUGCGAACGGGUGAGUAACGCGUAGGUAACCUGCCUGGUAGCGGGGGAUAACUAUUGGAAACGAUAGCUAAUACCGCAUAAUAGCAGUUGUUGCAUGACAACUGUUUGAAAGGUGCAAUUGCACCACUACCAGAUGGACCUGCGUUGUAUUAGCUAGUUGGUGGGGUAACGGCUCACCAAGGCGACGAUACAUAGCCGACCUGAGAGGGUGAUCGGCCACACUGGGACUGAGACACGGCCCAGACUCCUACGGGAGGCAGCAGUAGGGAAUCUUCGGCAAUGGACGGAAGUCUGACCGAGCAACGCCGCGUGAGUGAAGAAGGUUUUCGGAUCGUAAAGCUCUGUUGUAAGAGAAGAACGAGUGUGAGAGUGGAAAGUUCACACUGUGACGGUAUCUUACCAGAAAGGGACGGCUAACUACGUGCCAGCAGCCGCGGUAAUACGUAGGUCCCGAGCGUUGUCCGGAUUUAUUGGGCGUAAAGCGAGCGCAGGCGGUUAGAUAAGUCUGAAGUUAAAGGCUGUGGCUUAACCAUAGUACGCUUUGGAAACUGUUUAACUUGAGUGCAAGAGGGGAGAGUGGAAUUCCAUGUGUAGCGGUGAAAUGCGUAGAUAUAUGGAGGAACACCGGUGGCGAAAGCGGCUCUCUGGC